RNAcentral lists this transfer RNA (66 nucleotides) under Afghanodon mustersi (Paghman mountain salamander). RNAcentral's name for it is "tRNA-Cys". Lineage: Eukaryota; Metazoa; Chordata; Amphibia; Caudata; Hynobiidae. The record is from RNAcentral.
AGCCCUGUGGUGUAGUGCACAUAAAAUUGCAAAUUUUAAAGGGUAAAUUAGGUUUUUCCGGGGCUU